Molecule: ribosomal RNA, 229 nt
Filed under: uncultured Acanthamoeba
Lineage: Eukaryota; Discosea; Longamoebia; Acanthamoebidae
Description: partial 18S ribosomal RNA
Rfam family: Eukaryotic small subunit ribosomal RNA
Source: RNAcentral
CUCAUUAAAUCAGUUAUAGUUUAUUUGAUGGUCUCUUUGUUCUUCUUUUUACCUACUUGGAUAACCGUGGUAAUUCUAGAGCUAAUACAUGCGCAAGGUCCCGAGCGCGGAGAGUAGGACUUCACGGUUCUAUUCUUGCAUGCGUAGAGGGAUGUAUUUAUUAGGUUAAGCAACCAGCUAUUUUUUCAUUUCUGGUGAUUCAUAGUAACUCUUUCGGAUCGCAUUCAUG